Ctenopharyngodon idella (grass carp) is the source of this 679-nucleotide long non-coding RNA. RefSeq lists it as uncharacterized. NCBI's taxonomy places the organism in Eukaryota, Metazoa, Chordata, Actinopteri, Cypriniformes, Xenocyprididae. The record is from RefSeq and is a predicted model, not a curated record. The transcript is spliced from 3 exons.
CUGCAAUCAGAAGGACCUGAACUCUCGAACCUCCCCGCGAGAGCGCUGGAGUCCCGGAACAGGUCACGUAUGGAGGAACGGGAGAUGGUUGUUAGCGGGUUCGAGGGUGAUGGUGUUAGAAAGAUGAGAGUUUCAUGGACAGAACAGGUCAUUUUCAAUCUGGUAUCGAUGUGGCACAGCGUCUGCACCAACGAGACAACAAACACGUGAGAUCAUGCAUCUAUUUUUCAAUUAUUCAUCCGAGCGCUGUUCCAGGAACAGUUCAUCUGAUCCAGAUCAGCAGAUAUUGUUAGGAUGUCUGAGUUAAAGCACAACAACAUCUCACAAAAUCUGCCCUGAAAGCCUUUGAGAUGGUUCUGUCUGGAGCUGAAGAUGCAUAGGAGGGACUGCAGAUGGGAUUCAGUCUUACAGAUGGGCAGAAUGAAUCUGAAUCCCAAAUGAAGAUGUUCCUCUGAAGCGGCUCUAAAAGAUCUCAGAGAAACACUUUCAUACUAAUGCUCACGGGAUAAUAACAGGGUUCCACAUCACUUGAAACAUACUUUAAGAAAAAACAUAAACACAAGCCCCAUUUCAUAUGUUGUUGUGCUGAAAUGUGCAAGAACACAACUUAUAGUGCAACACAAUUCUCAGUGUUGCCACAAGGGGCACUAUAGCCAUCCUUAACACAAACUGUUUUUAA